Molecule: long non-coding RNA, 627 nt
Organism: Harpia harpyja (harpy eagle)
Lineage: Eukaryota; Metazoa; Chordata; Aves; Accipitriformes; Accipitridae
Exons: 2
Source: RefSeq, a predicted model, not a curated record
CGCCCCGACCGGCUCCGAGCGAGGCGUCCCCGCGGCAGCUGCCGGUAAGAGACCACCGCGGAGCCGCUGCGAAAGAACCAACAUGCAAAGUGGAAGGAAACCCGAAACUGCUCUUUUAACAAAAAAGUAUUGGCUUUCUGCUUCUUUCACUUGUUUUCCUUUUGCUUCUUAAUGGAAGGAGCGGGAUUUUCUGAAUCAUUGAGGCAAAAUUUGGGCGUCGCUGGCUGGAGAUAAGAUGAAAGAAGACUUGAAAAUAUAUCGAUACUCUGUGACUAUUGAUUCAGAUGCACCUUUCACAAACAGAGGGGAAUAGUGGUUAAAAGCACUACAGUUUCAUCAAAAGAAGCUAAUGGAGGAGCUAUGUUGAUUAUUUUUUUUUAUUAAUUUUUUUUCCUUCCCGCUCUCCCAUGAGUCCCAAAAGAGAAAGAUGGAAAGAGCGUGUAUGGAAAUUGAGAUAAGGGGAAGGCUGAAGACAGUAACUUUGGUUUUGAAGUCUGUUUUCCAAGUGCUGUAAAUUCCCUAUUUCAUCGAAUAUAACACAAUGUUCUGAAUAAAUUAUAUCAUUUUGUGAUCAGUGGAGUUUUUGUCAGCUCUAGAAGUGGAAUUUGACCUGAUUGAAAGCCUUUU